AAAAAGUGGGCUACACAUAGGCAGAGAUUGUGGAAUGAAUAUUUUGACCCUGCAAGAAGCAAAAAUGAGAUCAUUAGUAAUGUGCCAUCUGGUAUAAAUAAAGAUCAAUGGGCUAGUUUUGUUGCUUACCGUCUGAAACCAUCAACAAUGGAGCUUUGUAGAAGAAAUAAGGAAAUCCAGAGGAAGCAAAAAAUGCCACACACUGGUGGUUCAAAGGCUAACUCGAGAAGACGUUAUGAGAUGGUAUGUGCAUUUAACUUAAUAGUUCUGAUUUGUCUUUAACUAAACUGUUUUUGGAUAACAUUUAUAAUACAUUUCUUUCUUAGUUUCUGGAAACUGGUAAAGCUCCUAGUCGAGGAAAAAUGUUUAUUGAAACUCAUAAGAGAAAGAACGGAUCAUUUGUGAAUGCUGAGGCUCAAACUAUAGGGGAACAAAUUGAGUCACAUAUGACUCAUUGUAACACUAAUGAGUCUGAAGUUUCCCCAGAAGAUAUUGUUGGUAAGAUAUUAGGGGCAGAACACUCUGGGAGGGUAAGAUGUAUGGGUAUGGGAGCAGCUCCAUCAAACACAUUCUUGAAUACAAAGCGACGACUUAGCGAGCUGAGCAUUUCUUCAUCUAGCUAUGAUGAAUCAUCUGCAACUUCUACAUAUUUGCAUCAAAAGGUUGCGCGUUUGGAGUCCAAACUUGAAG
Solanum verrucosum is the source of this 690-nucleotide long non-coding RNA. RefSeq lists it as uncharacterized. The transcript has 3 exons. The record is from RefSeq and is a predicted model, not a curated record. Lineage: Eukaryota; Viridiplantae; Streptophyta; Magnoliopsida; Solanales; Solanaceae.